Molecule: ribosomal RNA, 490 nt
Filed under: uncultured bacterium
Lineage: Bacteria
Description: bacterial SSU rRNA
Rfam family: Bacterial small subunit ribosomal RNA
Source: RNAcentral
UAGUCCACGCCGUAAACGAUGGAUACUAGCUGUUGGGUUUCGGCUCAGUGGCUAAGCGAAAGUGAUAAGUAUCCCACCUGGGGAGUACGUUCGCAAGAAUGAAACUCAAAGGAAUUGACGGGGGCCCGCACAAGCGGUGGAGCAUGUGGUUUAAUUCGAUGAUACGCGAGGAACCUUACCAGGGCUUAAAUGUAAGUUGCAUGAUCCAGAGAUGGGUCUUUCUUCGGACCACUUACAAGGUGCUGCAUGGUUGUCGUCAGCUCGUGCCGUGAGGUGUCAGGUUAAGUCCUAUAACGAGCGCAACCCCUGUUGUUAGUUGCCAGCAUGUAAAGAUGGGAACUCUAACAAGACUGCCGGUGCAAACCGCGAGGAAGGUGGGGAUGACGUCAAAUCAUCACGGCCCUUACGUCCUGGGCCACACACGUGCUACAAUGGUAUGGACAAUGAGCAGCCAUCUGGCAACAGAGAGCAAAUCUACAAACCAUAUCAC